GAGGCGGUGGAGAACGUGAGUGUUACGAGCAGAAGAGGGCCGGGAGCGGCCGCUUUCGGGCGGACGAUGCUGCCCGCAGACUCAUAAUCCGUCGGCCGUGGGUUCGAGUCCCACCCGCCUCA
RNAcentral lists this transfer RNA (122 nucleotides) under Streptomyces sp. CNZ288. RNAcentral describes it as "tRNA-Met". It matches the Rfam family "tRNA". Rfam says of the family: Transfer RNA (tRNA) molecules are approximately 80 nucleotides in length. Their secondary structure includes four short double-helical elements and three loops (D, anti-codon, and T loops). Lineage: Bacteria; Bacillati; Actinomycetota; Actinomycetes; Kitasatosporales; Streptomycetaceae. The record is from RNAcentral.